AACGAACGCUGGCGGCGCGUCUUAAGCAUGCAAGUCGAACGGCAAGAGAGGAGCUUGCUUCUCUCCUAGAGUGGCGGACUGGUGAGGAACACGUGGGUAAUCUACCCUUAAGAUGGGGAUAGCUGCUAGAAAUAGCAGGUAAUACCGAAUACACUCGGCAUAUCACAAGAGGUGUUGAGGAAAGGAAGCUACGGCUUCGCUUGAGGAUGAGCUUGCGUCCCAUUAGCUAGUUGGUGAGGUAAAGGCCCACCAAGGCGACGAUGGGUAUCCGGCCUGAGAGGGUGAACGGACACAUUGGGACUGAGAUACGGCCCAAACUCCUACGGGAGGCAGCAGCUAAGAAUAUUCCGCAAUGGGCGGAAGUCUGACGGAGCGACGCCGCGUGGAUGAAGAAGGCUGAAAAGUUGUAAAAUCCUUUUGUUGAUGAAGAAUAAGGGUGAGAGGGAAUGCUCAUCUGAUGACGGUAAUCGACGAAUAAGCCCCGGCUAAUUACGUG
This 496-nucleotide ribosomal RNA is filed under the name uncultured bacterium. RNAcentral describes it as "partial 16S ribosomal RNA". It matches the Rfam family "Bacterial small subunit ribosomal RNA", at positions 29 to 507 of the family's 1533-position model. The record is from RNAcentral.